This 546-nucleotide ribosomal RNA is filed under the name Microdochium sp. Its description in RNAcentral is "partial large subunit ribosomal RNA". It matches the Rfam family "Eukaryotic large subunit ribosomal RNA", at positions 86 to 655 of the family's 3401-position model. Lineage: Eukaryota; Fungi; Ascomycota; Sordariomycetes; Xylariales; Microdochiaceae. The record is from RNAcentral.
ACGGCGAGUGAAGCGGCAACAGCUCAAAUUUGAAAUCUGGCCCUUGUGGUCCGAGUUGUAAUUUGUAGAGGAUGCUUUUGGUUAGGUACCUUCCGAGUUCCUUGGAACAGGACGCCUUAGAGGGUGAGAGCCCCGUACGGUUGGAUACCGAGCCUCUGUAAAGCUCCUUCGACGAGUCGAGUAGUUUGGGAAUGCUGCUCUAAAUGGGAGGUAAAUUUCUUCUAAAGCUAAAUACCGGCCAGAGACCGAUAGCGCACAAGUAGAGUGAUCGAAAGAUGAAAAGCACUUUGAAAAGAGGGUUAAAUAGUACGUGAAAUUGUUGAAAGGGAAGGGCUUGUGACCAGACCUUUGCCUUGCGGAUCAUCCGGUGUUCUCACCGGUGCACUCCGCUUGGUUGAGGCCAGCAUCAGUUCUGGCGGCGGGAUAAAGACUUCAGGAACGUGACUCCCCCGGGAGUGUUAUAGCCUGCUGUGUAAUACCGCCGCCGGGACUGAGGACCGCGCUUCGGCUAGGAUGCUGGCAUAAUGGUCAUCAGCCACCCGUCUU